GCGGGCUUUGUGAAGUGGUAUCACAGAGGUCUCCAAAACCUUUAUCGUAGGUUCGAUUCCUACAGCCCGCGCCA
RNAcentral lists this transfer RNA (74 nucleotides) under bacterium. RNAcentral describes it as "tRNA-Trp". It matches the Rfam family "tRNA". From Rfam's summary of the family: Transfer RNA (tRNA) molecules are approximately 80 nucleotides in length. Their secondary structure includes four short double-helical elements and three loops (D, anti-codon, and T loops). The record is from RNAcentral.